This 253-nucleotide ribosomal RNA is filed under the name uncultured bacterium. Its description in RNAcentral is "partial 16S ribosomal RNA". It matches the Rfam family "Bacterial small subunit ribosomal RNA", at positions 524 to 776 of the family's 1533-position model. The record is from RNAcentral.
UACGUAGGGUGCAAGCGUUGUCCGGAAUUACUGGGCGUAAAGGGCGCGUAGGCGGCCUUCUAAGUCGGACGUGAAAUCCCUCGGCUCAACCGAGGAACUGCGUCCGAUACUGAAAGGCUUGAAUCCGGGAGAGGGAUGUGGAAUUCCAGGUGUAGCGGUGAAAUGCGUAGAUAUCGGGAGGAACACCAGUGGCGAAGGCGGCUCUCUGGGGUAUUUCUGACGCUGAGGCACGAAAGCCAGGGGAGCGAACGGG